Non-coding RNA from Marmota flaviventris (yellow-bellied marmot), 1890 nucleotides. The record is from RefSeq and is a predicted model, not a curated record. Lineage: Eukaryota; Metazoa; Chordata; Mammalia; Rodentia; Sciuridae.
AGGUAUAGAAACUCCAUAGCUUCCUGUGCAGAUGAGCAGCCUCACAUCUGAAACUACAGACUGUUGAAAACCAUCAGCAAGGGGAACUUUGCAAAAAUGAUAUUGACAUGACACAUCCUUACAGGCAGAGAGAUUGCAACAAAAAUAAUUGACAAAACUCAGUUGAAUCCAACAAGUCUUCAAAAGGUCUUCAGAGAAUUAAGAGUAUGAAGAUUUUUAAUCAUCCAAACAUAAUGAAGUUGCUUGAAGUCAUUGAAACUAAAAAACCACUCUACUUAAUCAUGGAAUACACAAGUGGAUGGGACGUAUUUCACUAUUUGGUUCCACGUGGAUGAAUGGUGGGAAAAGAAGCAAGAGCUAAAUUUAGACAGACCAUGUCCGCAGUACAGUAUUGCCACUAAAAGCUGAUUGAUCACAGGGAACUCAAGGCUGAAAAUCUGUUGUUAGAUCUGGAUAUGAACAUUAAAAUAGCAGGUUUGGGUUUCAGCAAUGAGUUUACUCUUGGCAGUAAACUAGACACGUUUUGUGGUAGUCCUCCAUAUGCAGCCCCAGACCUCUUCCAGGGCAAGAAGUACGAUGGGCUUGAAGUCCACGCUUGGCGUCUAGGCCUUCUCCCAUACACCCCGGUCAGUGGGUCUCUUCCCUUUGGCAGGCAAAAUCUGAAGGAACUUGGAGAGAAAGAGUGUUAUGACAGAAAUACAGAAUCCCUUUCUUCAUGUCCAUAGACUUUGAGAACCUUCUCAAAUGCUUCCUGAUGCCAAAUCCAAUUACUCUAGGUACUCUAAAGCAAAUCAUGAAGGACAAGUGGAUCAACACAGGGCAUGAGGAAGAUGAACUUAAACCCUUUGUUGAACCAGAGCUAGACAUCUCAGACCAGAAGAGACUAGAUGUUAUAGUAGGAAUGGGAUAUUCACAAGAGGAAAUUCAAGAAUCUCUCAGUAAAAUGAAACAGAAUCAAAUCACAGCUACAUACUUGCUGAGGAGCAAAUCUUCAGAGGUGCGGCCAAGCAGUGACCUCAGCAACAGUGUCCUCACCACAAAGUACCAAGAAGUAUUUCUUCAAUCCAGGAGCCCAGGGAGUACAGUGACUAUGCUGGACCAGCUAUUCCUUCAGUUGUGGCAUAUCCGAAGAGGAGUCGGACUAGCACUGCAGAUCCCUCAAAGAAGAUGGGAUUCCCUCCUGGAAAUCAGGAGGCAGUGCCACUUGGAUUACAGGAAAGGGAAUUGCUCCAGCCAGUCCCAUGCUUGGGAAGGCAAGUAUUCCCAACAAGAUGGACAUUCCUGAACACAAGAAAAGCCUGAGGUCUCCAGCAGUAGCACAGGAUCUGGAGGGGAUGAUACAGAAAAAUAUUCACAUUUGCAGUGAGUAAACCACAGCACACAGAUAUUUAGUGAUCCAGAAUGGCAAGGAGAAGAGCACCAUUCCAGAUCAGAGAACUCCAGCUGCUUCAACGCACAGUGUCAGCAGUGCCACCUCCCUAGACUUCUUCCCUAGAGGCACUGCUGGUGGCAGCACUUCCCACCGCCAGCCCCCAGGAAUCGCAAACUGCCAAAGACAACGGCCCUCCUGACUAGCGCAGCCUGUCCCACCAAGCCACGCCACUGUCCCAGACUUGAAGCAGAGGUGCCACUAAUCUCUUUUGUAAAUUAACUUCAAAACUCACAAGAAGCCGCAAUGUCUCUGCUGAGCAAAAGGACAAGAACGAAGAAGCAACACUUCGCUCCCUGCGCUUCACCUGGAGCAUGAGAACCACUAGUUCCAGGGAUUCCAGUGACACGAUGAGGGAAAUCCGCCAAGUGAUGGACGCCAAUAGCUGCGACCAAGAGAAUGUCUUUGAAGGAGGUCCGGUUCAAGCUGAAACCAGAGACAUCCAUAACUUUCAAAAAUAG